UGGGGAAUAUUGCACAAUGGGGGAAACCCUGAUGCAGCGACGCCGCGUGAGUGAUGAAGGCCUUCGGGUCGUAAAGCUCUGUCGUAUGGGACUAACAAAAUGAAGGUACCAUGCAAGAAAGGAUCGGCUAACUUCGUGCCAGCAGCCGCGGUAAGACGAGGGAUCCUAGCGUUGUUCGGAAUUAUUGGGCGUAAAGCGGGUGUAGGCGGACUUAUAAGUCAGGUGUGAAAUCCCAGGGCUCAACCCUGGAAGUGCACUUGAUACUGCAAGUCUUGAGUGUGGUAGAGGCUAUUAGAAUUCCUGGUGUAGUGGUGAAAUACGUAGAUAUCAGGAGGAAUACCGGAGGCGAAGGCGGAUAGCUGGGCCAACACUGACGCUGAGACCCGAAAGCGUGGGGAUCAAACAGGAUUAGAUACCCCCGUAGUCCCUGAGCGGGCUGGCAAGGCGCAU
This 450-nucleotide ribosomal RNA is filed under the name uncultured bacterium. RNAcentral describes it as "bacterial SSU rRNA". It matches the Rfam family "Bacterial small subunit ribosomal RNA", at positions 355 to 825 of the family's 1533-position model. The record is from RNAcentral.